RNAcentral lists this ribosomal RNA (429 nucleotides) under Acidobacteriota bacterium. RNAcentral's name for it is "Acidobacteria bacterium partial 16S ribosomal RNA". It matches the Rfam family "Bacterial small subunit ribosomal RNA", at positions 355 to 776 of the family's 1533-position model. The record is from RNAcentral. Lineage: Bacteria; Pseudomonadati; Acidobacteriota.
UGGGGAAUUUUGGACAAUGGGGGAAACCCUGAUCCAGCCAUCUCGCGUGUGCGAUGAAGGCCUUCGGGUUGUAAAGCACUUUUGGCAGGAAAGAAACGUCAUGGGUUAAUACCCCGUGAAACUGACGGUACCUGCAGAAUAAGCACCGGCUAACUACGUGCCAGCAGCCGCGGUAAUACGUAGGGUGCAAGCGUUAAUCGGAAUUACUGGGCGUAAAGCGUGCGCAGGCGGUUCGGAAAGAAAGAUGUGAAAUCCCAGAGCUCAACUUUGGAACUGCAUUUUUAACUACCGGGCUAGAGUAUGUCAGAGGGAGGUGGAAUUCCGCGUGUAGCAGUGAAAUGCGUAGAUAUGCGGAGGAACACCGAUGGCGAAGGCAGCCUCCUGGGAUAACACUAACGCUCAUGCACGAAAGCGUGGGGAGCAAACAGG